Molecule: long non-coding RNA, 1582 nt
Organism: Girardinichthys multiradiatus
Lineage: Eukaryota; Metazoa; Chordata; Actinopteri; Cyprinodontiformes; Goodeidae
Exons: 2
Source: RefSeq, a predicted model, not a curated record
GACAAACAUAGAACAGUCUAAAGUAAAAAACAUUUAGUCUCCACAUCAACAUGGACUCUAGAAGAACCUUUAUACAAGAUGCGGUGGACGCGUGUCUCAGGGUGUCGAGAGGUCCUGCAGCGCGCUGAGAUGGGCUUCGAGCACUGACGCGUCACGUCAACCAAUCAGAGAAGCUCAGCUUUGUAACAUGGUGGCAUAUUUUAUCAUGGGACAGAAGGACCAUUUUAUUUACUAAUAAACCAUGCCUGAAGGCUGAAAAAGGACACAUCAGCUUUCUGAAUGAAACGCAGGUAGGGGGCGCUGUAUUUAAUAACAUCCUAAACCAGCUGAUCAGAGGCACAAACAUUUCCCCAAAACCACCAUGAAACAACGUGUUUGACAUUUAUUAACGGUCCUGCAGGAGGAGGGAGGAGGGAGCAGGCAGAGAGCAGCUGGCCGUAAUCAGACCGCCUGCAUCGGAUCAAGCGGGAGAAAAGCCCCGAUGAGAUUCAAAAUUGAAACUUCAGGUGAACUCUGGAGCUUCAUCCGUCCAAACAGCAGCGUCUCUCCUCGUUGCUUCUCCUGCCACCCUCCAUCUGAGUGGAGCGGAGCCACAGCUUUCACAUUUGAGUUGAUUCCCAGGUACCGAUACUCAAUGGUACCAGUUUUCUAUACUUUUGUGUGUGUUUAAGUGGUAAUAAAUGUUCAUUUGUUUAAUAAUAAAAUCUUUUGAAUUUCUCAAUAAAAUAAACUUAUAUUAAAAAACAUCCAGCUGUUUCAAACAUUUCUUCAUCAUUAAAACCCUUCACUGACUACACUGUUUAAUGCAUAAAUUAUAACCCAGCCACGUCGCUGGCUGCAGACGAAUUUAUCAUCAUGAAAAAUUCAUCAUAAACAUCACAAUAAAGUCAAACAUUUGUUCAAGCUUUUUAAGGAGAAUUUAUAGGCCCUUCCUGGUCCAACCUGGUGUUCAGCAUUAAGGAAUCAAAAUAAGGUCAUGAAGUUACCAGGACAGAGAAAUAAAUGAACAGGUUUCAAAAUGCUACUCUGGAUUCUAAAUAAAUUACAUGAGCUCAUUAAAUUUCUAGCAGCUCCCUCUGAAGACUAGGAUGUAAUGCAUUCAUCUAAAAGGCAAACUAUUAACCAUUUCUACUAUUAUUCUAGGAGGAGACUCAGGUUUUAUCCAUCAACAUCUUGACCAUAACUGCAGCAAAUUUGGACUGAAUCAACUGAGGCAUAUUUGUUCCACAGAGGUUUUUAGAGGGCAACGUGUCAGGACUCUGAUUCUGAAUCAAGCUUUCAUUCAGUCACACACAGACAGACAUGCAGCCUCUUAUAACCCUGUUCAUAAAGUAGAACAUCUAAAGGGUCACUUUCAAUAGUUCUCAUUCAAUAGUGUUAAAGUGCAAGAAAUAAAACUAGUCAUAAUGGGAAAAGUUGUGUUCCAUUAACCUCAGAAGUUAUCGGAGUUGUAGCGUGUAUUGCUAGCAUCUCAAACAGCUGUCUUUGAGCUAAAAACAUCUCGUCUUAUAAACACUGAAAAGUAGUACCUCUACGACAGACUAAAUGUUGCAUAAAUAAUAAAGAACUGCUAAAAACAAAA